CGAAAGUAACCUUCACAACCCUGGUCACCUCCAACCAGGCUCCAAAAAGGAUUUUCUCUUUCGUUUUUUCACUCCGCCUGUCUCCAUAUCAUGUUUAAUGUAACAAGGAGUGGGACAAUCAAAACAGCAGGCAGUCAGCCCUGGUGUCGAGGCUGUGGCUACAGGAAAUUGAUGUGGAGGGAAAUGGCUUGGUGGCAAACUUUUACUAUUAACUCAGUCAUGUAUGGUAGAGGUCGGUGCAGGCAGCUAAAAAAUUGGGCUCCACACAGGCAAUUUUAGGUUUUUGCCAGACUGUGCUCCCCUCAGCUACGGCCUGUUCACACCUCGUUGUCUCCAUCCACCUCCACUCGCUGAUAAUCACGGAGCAGCUCUCUCCUUUUUACACUCCUUUUCUUUUUCUCCCGCUGCAGCUUUGGCCAGGAAGGAGCUUUCACAACUCAACCUGUGUGGCCACCCGACAAGCGAGUCCAAAGUUUUGCAGGAACUCUGCACAGCUAGUCCUCGGUUUUCCACGGGCUCGAGGAAAUGAGAAGGAAGGGAAGAGAGAGUACAGGUUUGAGGUGUUGGUGGACGUGCAGUGGACGGGAUCUCAGUCAGGCCCAACCCCCGCUCCUCCAAACAUGGUUACUUCUGGUUCCAAUGGGUGACUUCACGUUCUCCAGAGUGAAAUCCAGUUAAUCGUGGUGACAACGCAUAUAGUGACGCGUCAUGAUCUCUGAGCCAUGAUUGGGUCACUUCCAAGUCUGAGUAGUAAUGCUUGUGGUCUGAGUCGG
Molecule: long non-coding RNA, 773 nt
Filed under: Scophthalmus maximus (turbot)
Lineage: Eukaryota; Metazoa; Chordata; Actinopteri; Pleuronectiformes; Scophthalmidae
Description: lncRNA (ENSSMAG00000033826.1)
Source: RNAcentral